CUCCAAUAGCGUAUAUUAAAGUUGUUGCAGUUAAAAAGCUCGUAGUUGAACCUUUGGCCUGGCUGGCAGGUCCGCCUCACCGCGUGCACUUGUCCGGCCGGGCCUUUUCUUCUGGAGAACCGCAUGCCCUUCACUGGGUGUGUUGGGGACCAGGACUUUUACUUUGAAAAAAUUAGAGUGUUCAAAGCAGGCCUUUGCUCGAAUACGUUAGCAUGGAAUAAUAGAAUAGGACGUGCGGUCCUAUUUUGUUGGUUUCUAGGACCGCCGUAAUGAUUAAUAGGGACAGUCGGGGGCAUCAGUAUUCAAUUGUCAGAGGUGAAAUUCUUGGAUUUAUUGAAGACUAACUACUGCGAAAGCAUUUGCCAAGGAUGUUUUCAUUAAUCAGUGAACGAAAGUUAGGGGAUCGAAGACGAUCAGAUACCGUCGUAGUCUUAACCAUAAACUAUGCCGACUAGGGAUCGGGCGGUGUUUCUAUUGUGACCCGCUCGGCACCUUACGAGAAAUCAAAGUGUUUGGGUUCUGGGGGGAGUAUGGUCGCAAGGCUGAAACUUAAAGAAAUUGACGGAAGGGCACCACCAGGCGUGGAGCCUGCGGCUUAAUUCGACUCAAC
RNAcentral lists this ribosomal RNA (610 nucleotides) under uncultured fungus. Its description in RNAcentral is "SSU rRNA". It matches the Rfam family "Eukaryotic small subunit ribosomal RNA", at positions 589 to 1204 of the family's 1831-position model. Lineage: Eukaryota; Fungi. The record is from RNAcentral.